RNAcentral lists this ribosomal RNA (377 nucleotides) under uncultured bacterium. RNAcentral's name for it is "bacterial SSU rRNA". It matches the Rfam family "Bacterial small subunit ribosomal RNA", at positions 523 to 898 of the family's 1533-position model. The record is from RNAcentral.
AUACGUAGGGUGCGAGCGUUAAUCGGAAUUACUGGGCGUGAAGGGUGCGCAGGCGGUUCAGUAAGACAGAUGUGAAAGCCCCGGGCUCAACCUGGGAACUGCAUUUGUGACUGCUGGACUAGAGUAUAGCAGAGGGGGGUAGAAUUCCACGUGUAGCAGUGAAAUGCGUAGAGAUGUGGAGGAAUACCGAUGGCGAAGGCAGCCCCCUGGGUUAAUACUGACGCUCAGGCACGAAAGCGUGGGUAGCGAACAGGAUUAGAUACCCUGGUAGUCCACGCCCUAAACGAUGUCAACUAGUUGUCGGAGGAGGAGACUUCUUUAGUAACGCAGCUAACGCGCGAAGUUGACCGCCUGGGGAGUACGGUCGCAAGAUUAAA